Molecule: ribosomal RNA, 353 nt
Filed under: uncultured bacterium
Lineage: Bacteria
Description: bacterial SSU rRNA
Rfam family: Bacterial small subunit ribosomal RNA
Source: RNAcentral
AAUCAACGCUGGCGGCGUGCCUCAGACAUGCAAGUCGAACGAUUAAAGCUCUCUUCGGAGAGUGUAUAGAGUGGCGCACGGGUGAGUAACACGUAAGUAAUCUACCUUCGAGUGGGGAAUAACACCGAGAAAUCGGUGCUAAUACCGCAUAAUGCAGCGGCAUCGCAAGAUGACAGUUGUUAAAGAUUUAUCGCUUGAAGAGGAGCUUGCGGCAGAUUAGCUAGUUGGUAAGGUAAUGGCUUACCAAGGCUACGAUCUGUAACCGGUCUAAGAGGACGGUCGGUCACACUGACACUGAAUAACGGGUCAGACUCCUACGGGAGGCAGCAGUCGGGAAUUUUGGGCAAUGGGCG